RNAcentral lists this ribosomal RNA (250 nucleotides) under uncultured prokaryote. RNAcentral's name for it is "partial 16S ribosomal RNA". It matches the Rfam family "Bacterial small subunit ribosomal RNA", at positions 524 to 772 of the family's 1533-position model. The record is from RNAcentral.
UACGGAGGAUGCGAGCGUUAUCCGGAUUUAUUGGGUUUAAAGGGUGCGUAGGCGGCCGAGUAAGUCAGCGGUGAAAUUUUGCAGCUUAACUGUAACAGUGCCGUUGAUACUGCAUGGCUAGGAUUUGGUUGCUGUGGGUGGAAUGUGUGGUGUAGCGGUGAAAUGCUUAGAUAUCACACAGAAUAUCAAUUGCGAAGGCAGCUCACAAAGCCAAGAUUGACGCUGAGGCACGAAAGUGUGGGGGAUCAAA